GAACAGGAGGGAAAGGUGUGCACCUCAGCUGCACAGCAUUUCACAAAACCAAUGAUGAGAGGCGGGCAUACCUUUCAGAAAUUGCUAAGCUGUCCUCCACCCUUGAAGCCCAAAGGAGACAGAACUCCACCCAGCCACAGAGGGCAGGAGAGAGCAAACAGAGGAGAGGGAGGCAGACCGGCAGGAAGGCGGAGGCUGAUUCUAAGAAAGGAAAAGAGAGAGAAGAAGAUGGACGAGGAGCGUGUGUGAACGGAGGAGGUGGUGGUGGAGCAACAACAGAGAAAAGAGAAGAGAAGAAAUCUCAAAGGGGAAGCAGGUUACCCACCUUAAAGUACUACCUUAAACACAAUCCCUAACCCCAACCUGGUGUCAUAGCCUCUUUUAUUAAUGUUUUUAAAGAGGUGUCUUGGUUUAAAUUUCUCAAAAGAUGACUGUGAGGAAACAAUUCAGUUCCCAUGUAGGUUAUGUACCCAUGUGCCACUGUCGGUAUUGUAAUUCAGUGUUAAUUGAUGGCAAAUACAUAUAAAAUGUUACAUUUAUUAUGAAGUC
Molecule: long non-coding RNA, 549 nt
Filed under: Cottoperca gobio
Lineage: Eukaryota; Metazoa; Chordata; Actinopteri; Perciformes; Bovichtidae
Description: lncRNA (ENSCGOG00000021901.1)
Source: RNAcentral